Molecule: transfer RNA, 82 nt
Filed under: Buchnera aphidicola (Pentalonia nigronervosa)
Lineage: Bacteria; Pseudomonadati; Pseudomonadota; Gammaproteobacteria; Enterobacterales; Erwiniaceae
Description: tRNA-Leu
Rfam family: tRNA
About the family: Transfer RNA (tRNA) molecules are approximately 80 nucleotides in length.
Source: RNAcentral
ACCGAGGUGGUGGAAUUGGCAGACACGCUAUCUUGAGGGGAUAGUGCUGUAAAGCGUAUGGGUUCAAAUCCCAUUCUCGGUA